Molecule: ribosomal RNA, 483 nt
Filed under: uncultured bacterium
Lineage: Bacteria
Description: partial 16S ribosomal RNA
Rfam family: Bacterial small subunit ribosomal RNA
Source: RNAcentral
AUUGAACGCUGGCGGCAGGCCUAACACAUGCAAGUCGAGCGGAUGAAGGGAGCUUGCUCCUGGAUUCAGCGGCGGACGGGUGAGUAAUGCCUAGGAAUCUGCCUGGUAGUGGGGGAUAACGUCCGGAAACGGGCGCUAAUACCGCAUACGUCCUGAGGGAGAAAGUGGGGAUCUUCGGACCCCACGCUAUCCGAUGAGCCUAGGUCGGAUUAGCUAGUUGGUGGGGUAAAGGCCUACCAAGGCGACGAUCCGUAACUGGUCUGAGAGGAUGAUCAGUCACACUGGAACUGAGACACGGUCCAGACUCCUACGGGAGGCAGCAGUGGGGAAUAUUGGACAAUGGGCGAAAGCCUGAUCCAGCCAUGCCGCGUGUGUGAAGAAGGUCUUCGGAUUGUAAAGCACUUUAAGUUGGGAGGAAGGGCAGUAAGUUAAUACCUUGCUGUUUUGACGUUACCAACAGAAUAAGCACCGGCUAACUUCGUG